This 468-nucleotide ribosomal RNA is filed under the name uncultured bacterium. RNAcentral's name for it is "partial 16S ribosomal RNA". It matches the Rfam family "Bacterial small subunit ribosomal RNA", at positions 28 to 507 of the family's 1533-position model. The record is from RNAcentral.
GACGAACGCUGGCGGCGUGCUUAACACAUGCAAGUCGAACGGAAAGGCCCUGCUUUUGUGGGGUGCUCGAGUGGCGAACGGGUGAGUAACACGUGUGUAACCUGCCCUUGACUUUGGGAUAACUUCAGGAAACUGGGGCUAAUACCGGAUAGGAGCUCCUGCUGCGUGGUGGGGGUUGGAAAGUUUCGGCGGUUGGGGAUGGACUCGCGGCUUAUCAGCUUGUUGGUGGGGUAGUGGCUUACCAAGGCUUUGACGGGUAGCCGGCCUGAGAGGGUGACCGGCCACAUUGGGACUGAGAUACGGCCCAGACUCGUACGGGAGGCAGCAGUGGGAAAUAUUGCACAAUGGGCGGAAGCCUGAGGCAGCAACGCCGCGUGCGGAAUACCGGCCUUCGGGUGGUAAACCGCUUUGGCCUGUGACGAAGCGUGAGUGACGGUAAUGGGUAAAGAAGCACCGGCUAACUACGUG